Molecule: ribosomal RNA, 330 nt
Filed under: uncultured bacterium
Lineage: Bacteria
Description: bacterial SSU rRNA
Rfam family: Bacterial small subunit ribosomal RNA
Source: RNAcentral
GAUGAACGCUGGGCGGCGUGCCUAACACGAUGCAAGUCGAACGAAGCGUUGACGAAUAGAUUUUUCGGAAUGAAUUCUGAUAUGACUUAGUGGCGGACGGGUGAGUAACACGUGAGCAACCUGCCUUUCAGAGGGGGAUAACGGCUGGAAACGGUCGCUAAUACCGCAUAAGCCCACAGGUCGGCAUCGACCAGAGGGAAAAGGAGCAAUCCGCUUUGAGAUGGCCUCGCGUCCGAUUAGCUGGUUGGUGAGGUAACGGCCCACCAAGGCGACGAUCGGUAGCCGGACUGAGAGGUUGAACGGCCACAUUGGGACUGAGACACGGCCCAG